RNAcentral lists this long non-coding RNA (729 nucleotides) under Nicotiana benthamiana. RNAcentral's name for it is "long non-coding RNA (NBEN_LNC013998)". Lineage: Eukaryota; Viridiplantae; Streptophyta; Magnoliopsida; Solanales; Solanaceae. The record is from RNAcentral.
UCAAAACACAAAUCACAAAUAAAAAAUAACUCCAUUCUACGAAAAAAUUGAUCGAAAUACCCGUCACGCUAUGAACAAAUUUCCACGGCUCUAUCAUACAUCAAUCCACCAUUAUUCUUAUAAUAAAGGGAAUUAAAGGGAAAGAGGUGAUCCUGAAUUCGAACAAUUUCAGUUUAAUGUGUUCAGAAAUGAAUACAGGCAGACCGGCAUCGAAAUUUGAACGUGCAAAAGAUCAAGAACAGGAUAGCAACAAUCGAACCAGAACUGUAAACCUCAAGCGACACUCGCCACUUCAAUCGGACUUCAUCGCAACAAGGGAUUUCCAGCAGAACUAAUACGGACAAAACAGGACAAGAAAUCUCCGUACUAAAACAAAUUCAACGCACCCCACAACGAGAAAUCAAAGAAGAAUUUAAACCCUUUGGUCCUUUUGAUACGCAGAAUCGAAAAUGAAAACUUAAGAGGAACUGAAAUCUCUUUGUAUAGAUGUGUGUAUAUAUAUAUAUAUAUAUAUAUAUAUAUAUAUCAAUAAUUUAAAGCCUAAACCAAACUGAAAAUCCAAUCAACCUCCAUUUCAUCCAUCCCCUCCCUUUUCUUGCAUUUUUUUAUUUUUUGAUUGUGUAUGUGUGUGUAGUGAGUCUGGGCGGCUGGUUUCCAAGUAGGGAUUUCUAGGCCUUAUGUCCUUGGGGUGGGGUGAAGAAACAAUAUUCAGGGGGUGGGGUAUGUAGG